CCUACGGGUGGCUGCAGUGGGGAAUAUUGCACAAUGGGGGAAACCCUGAUGCAGCGACGCCGCGUGAGUGAAGAAGUAUUUCGGUAUUUAAAGCUCUAUCAGCAGGAACGAGACAAGACGGUACCUGACUAAGAAGCCCCGGCUAACUACGUGCCAGCAGCCGCGGUACUACGUAGGGGGCAAGCGUUAACCGGAAUCACUGGGGGUAAAGGGAGCGUAGACCGCUGAGCAAGCCUGAAGUGAAAGGCGGGGGGCUAACCCCCGGAUUGCUUUGGGAACUGUACGGCUGGAGUGCAGGAGAGGUAAGUGGAAUUCGUAGUGUAGCGGUGAAAUGCGUAGAUAUUAGGAGGAACCCCAGUGGCGAAGGCGGCUUACUGGACUGUAACUGACGUUGAGGCUCGAAAGCGUGGGGAGCAAACAGGAUUAGAUACCCCUGUAGUC
RNAcentral lists this ribosomal RNA (441 nucleotides) under uncultured bacterium. RNAcentral describes it as "partial 16S ribosomal RNA". It matches the Rfam family "Bacterial small subunit ribosomal RNA", at positions 338 to 795 of the family's 1533-position model. The record is from RNAcentral.